Molecule: ribosomal RNA, 251 nt
Filed under: uncultured bacterium
Lineage: Bacteria
Description: partial 16S ribosomal RNA
Rfam family: Bacterial small subunit ribosomal RNA
Source: RNAcentral
UACGUAGGAGACGAGCGUUGUCCGGAGUUACUGGGCGUAAAGGGUGCGCAGGCGGCCUUGCGCGUCGCGAGUGAAAUCUCCCGGCUCAACUGGGAGGGUGGUCGGCGAGACGGCAGGGCUUGAGGCUCGGUGAGGGGCGUGGAAUCCGGGUGGAGCGGUGAAUGCGUAGAGAUCCGGAGGAACACCGACGGCGUAGGCAGCGCCCUAGACGAGACCUGACGCUCAGGCACGAAAGCGCGGGGAGCGAACGG